ACUCGCUGGAGAGAGAGCAGCCUCCGGAGGCGCCGGGCGGAGCUGGGCGUACCCGAAGCCCCUGUCCCGGCCAAGCCAACAACGCGGUCUCACCCCGCCUCUAGCCUGACUUUGUCAGCGAUCAUAAAAUGGGAAUUGAUCAUUCGAGCCACCAUUGAUUAGGGAAGAAUGCUUACUGCAGCAGCAGGGGAAAGGUUAAGAGGAAAUUGACCUUCUCCGUAGGUGACAUAAAGUCAUUAGGUAAAUGAGAUAUUCACACUGGAGUUUUAAAAGGUCAUGCUCAAUUUUUAUUUGCAGCCUGAAAAGUCAAGCUGGAGCUCCGGCUUAAGGUAGGGACUUCCAUUCCUAGGGACCCGGGCACCGAUCAGAAUGAAGUCCUGCUGCGCCGGCCAGAGGCGAAAGUGGGAUGUGGAUUGCCAUCUGGAAGACUUCGGCUGGACUCCGAGCGGGUCCUGGCGGCCCCAGCUUUGGACCUGCCGCUGGACCCGAGCGCGUUUUUGAGUGUGAGAUGCGCUCCCGCGGCCCAGUAUUCCCACCGCCACAGCGUGCAAAAGGAUCUCUGGCCAAAGUCGACCUCUCAGCAUCAGCAACACCUCCCCUUCCCUAGCCCACCAUGUCUCCUACACAGUGAAAGUGUUUUGUUGUUGUUGAUGUUGUUGUUGUUGUUGUUGUAAAGGAGAGAGUGAGAGAGAUAUUUAUGCACAUAUUUAUCCCUCUAAUUAUAGGAAUUAAUCCUCUUAUGACUAAAAGGUAACGUGGAAGGACGUCCUUUUGAUGUGGAAAAGCACCAUUUGUGACUCACAUUCAGACUGAUUAAGGAAUAAUUGUUGUUAAACGCUUUUAAGAGGAGAGUGUUUAAUUGAGGGGCAUUCGUAAUUUUACGGCUUAGUGCAAAAUUAAACGUAAUUAAAAACUCAGAAAUUCCAACUGAUUUUCCAAUUAUUUUUAUUGUCUGAGCUAAUUGUUACACAAGGGUAUCACUUCUCCCCCAAAGGCAUUGGGGAAAAGAGGUGGGAGGUGGGAGGUGGGAGGCAAUCAUACCUUGUCCAAAUAUUCUCCAACUGAAGAGUCCAGCGUCCAGAAAGACCUCCUUGGUUGCACCUUACCUCCCCAAGCCCCGCCCGGGGUCCCGAGUGGCACCCCGCCCUCCCCUUGGCAAUUAAGCAUUACAGGCACUCUCCCCUCGCUCCGAGUUCCGCCAACACCUUGGGAUGUGAGAAAGUGAUGGCAGCUCUCUUCUGCAGAUCAUUACGGCAAAACCUGGAAGUAUCUAGAGAAGGCCGAUGACUAUCUUCAAGUAACACUUGCCAUACAUAGCCGAGGGAUUUAAAAAAAAAUGAGUAAACACAGCUCUCUGGGGGAUGAUCCCUCCACGCCCUUGCUUUUGAGCUUGGGGGGGGGGGGUCAUGCACAAACAUGAGACACGCGUGCACGACCUACAGACGCAAGCAGCAAACUUUUUUCUGCCUUGCACUUUAUUUAUUUACUUACUUAUUUGAGGCAAAGAUGAGCAUGGAAACGCUCAGACAUUUUUCCUUCCUUCCUUCCU
Molecule: long non-coding RNA, 1549 nt
Filed under: Mus musculus (house mouse)
Lineage: Eukaryota; Metazoa; Chordata; Mammalia; Rodentia; Muridae
Description: RIKEN cDNA 2810405F15 gene (2810405F15Rik)
Source: RNAcentral